RNA transcript from Nycticebus coucang (slow loris), 764 nucleotides. It is a transcript of the gene named superoxide dismutase [Mn], mitochondrial-like, with no coding region annotated. The record is from RefSeq and is a predicted model, not a curated record. NCBI's taxonomy places the organism in Eukaryota, Metazoa, Chordata, Mammalia, Primates, Lorisidae. The transcript has a single exon.
GGCUCCUGGCUCGGUAAGACCGAUCGCAGUCGGAGAAGGCCCUAGAGCGGUGCCAAAGUAGCUUCAGCACCAUGCUGUCCUGAGCAGCAUGCAGCACGAGCAGGAGGCUGGCGCCAGCGUUGGGGUGUCUGGGCUCCAGGCAAAAGCACACCCUCCCUGACCUGCCGUAUAGUCACGGCGCUCUGCAACCCUACAUUGAUGCCCAGAUCAUGCAGCUGCACCACAGCAAGCACCACGCGGCCUAUGUGAACAACCUGAACAUCGCAGAGGAGAAGUACCAGGAGGCCCUGGCCAAAGGAGAUCUUACAGCUCAGAUAGCUCUUCAGCCUGCAAUAAAGUUCAACGGUGGAGGUCAUAUCAAUCAUGCCAUUUUUGGACCAACCUGAGCCCUAAUGGUGGUGUAGAACCCCAAGGGGAGUUGCUGGCAGCCAUCAAACUUGACUUUGGUUCCUUUGACAAGUUUAAGGAGAAGUUGACAGCUGUAUCUGUUGGUGUCCAAGGCUCAGGCUGGGGUUGGCUUGGUUUCAAUAAGGAACAAGGACACUUACCGAUUGCCGCUUGUUCUAAUCAGGAUCCAUUGCAAGGAACAACAGGGCUUAUCCCACUGCUGGGCAUUGAUGUCUGGGAGCAUGCUUAUUACCUGCAGUAUAAAAACGUCAGACCUGACUACCUGAAAGCUAUUUGGAAUGUCAUCAACUGGGAGAAUGUGACCAAAAGAUACAUGGCUUGCAAAAAGUAAAACAGGAUCAUUAUACUGAAUAGAU